GACGAACGCUGGCGGCGUGCCUAAUACAUGCAAGUUGAGCGCUGAAGGUUGGUACUUGUACCGACUGGAUGAGCAGCGAACGGGUGAGUAACGCGUGGGGAAUCUGCCUUUGAGCGGGGGACAACAUUUGGAAACGAAUGCUAAUACCGCAUAAAAACUUUAAACACAAGUUUUAAGUUUGAAAGAUGCAAUUGCAUCACUCAAAGAUGAUCCCGCGUUGUAUUAGCUAGUUGGUGAGGUAAAGGCCCACCAAGGCGAUGAUACAUAGCCGACCUGAGAGGGUGAUCGGCCACAUUGGGACUGAGACACGGCCCAAACUCCUACGGGAGGCAGCAGUAGGGAAUCUUCGGCAAUGGACGAAAGUCUGACCGAGCAACGCCGCGUGAGUGAAGAAGGUUUUCGGAUCGUAAAACUCUGUUGGUAGAGAAGAACGUUGGUGAGAGUGGAAAGCUCAUCAAGUGACGGUAACUACCCAGAAAGGGACGGCUAACUACGUG
This 497-nucleotide ribosomal RNA is filed under the name uncultured bacterium. RNAcentral describes it as "partial 16S ribosomal RNA". It matches the Rfam family "Bacterial small subunit ribosomal RNA", at positions 28 to 507 of the family's 1533-position model. The record is from RNAcentral.